GUCUGGACCUUGUCCGCGCCCCAGACUAUCCCGCCCAGGAUGAAGCCGAAGCAGAUGAGCAGGGCGCUUUCCGGGAUGUAGUUGGUGACGCUGUGGUUGGCCUCGAUGACUGGAGGGAAACAAAGAAAUCAGCACGCAAAGCAGGCUGUUCUUCUUUUAGGACGGUUGCCAAGCAACGUUUAGAUGCGCAUUACUGCCAUCUACUGGAGUGGAGUACGGGUCAGGAUGGAAGUCGUGUGUUGACGGUACAGCUCUGUUGACUGUUCAUUAGAGAACCUGCUGCCUGGAGCCGGGUCGGACCGGAACCGGGUCGGACCGGAACCGGGUCGGACCGCAGCCGGGUCGGACGGGAACCGGGUCGGACGGGAACCGGGUCGGACCGGAACCGAGUCGGACCGCAGCCGGGUCGGACCGGAGCCGGUCCGAGAAGGCAGCUUGGCUCAUGCAAGAGUGUUCAAAUUUCCUGGUGCGGUUCAUGCUGAGACGAGGCCGGUCCUGUGGCGCGGAGGGGCUUUCAUUAGAGCGCCAGCAUGUCGCUCUGCUGAGGAACGCCAUGCAGCAUCGGAUAAACACGACCUCAACGCCGCCGCCGCCGCUGAUCCGGCUCCAAAGAGACACAUCAGGUGCAACAGCUGACCGACUGAGAAUGAGCUCCGUCAUGCUGAGUCACUGGGCAGGAAACACCUGACCAAGAUGGCUGCUGGUUCCUGCCUGAGGGUCAGAAGGUCAUCUGGAGAGCCUUCCAGCAUUGACCUUUGACC
Gambusia affinis (western mosquitofish) is the source of this 761-nucleotide long non-coding RNA. RefSeq lists it as uncharacterized. The transcript is spliced from 4 exons. NCBI's taxonomy places the organism in Eukaryota, Metazoa, Chordata, Actinopteri, Cyprinodontiformes, Poeciliidae. The record is from RefSeq and is a predicted model, not a curated record.